Molecule: ribosomal RNA, 403 nt
Filed under: uncultured bacterium
Lineage: Bacteria
Description: partial 16S ribosomal RNA
Rfam family: Bacterial small subunit ribosomal RNA
Source: RNAcentral
AUUGAACGCUGGCGGCAGGCCUAACACAUGCAAGUCGAGCGAGCGGCGGACGGGUGAGUAAUGUAUGGGGACUGCCCGAUAGAGGGGGAUAACUACUGGAAACGGUAGCUAAUACCGCAUACUAUCGGAUAACCCAUAUGGGAUUAGCUAGUAGGUGAGGGAAUGGCUCACCUAGGCGACGAACCCUAGCUGGUCUGGGAGGAUGAUCAGCUACACUGGACAUGAGACAGGGCCCAGACUCGUACGGAGGCAGCAGUGGGGAAUAUUGCACAAUGGGCGCAAGCCUGAUGCAGCCAUGCAGCGUGUAUGAAGAAGGCCCUAGGGUUGUAAAGUACUUUCAGUCGGGAGGCGUUACCGACAGAAGAAGCACCGGCUAACUCCGUGCCAGCAGCCGCGGUAAUUC